UGCUUUCUUUGUGCUUUCUGGAAUAUCCAGAAAGGUCGUACAUCUAGAAAUGUUCCCCUCUUUCUUUUCACUUCUAUCACUGCAAUUUCCUCCUCUGAACAUUGCAUUUAUUGCCUCUUCUCCUAACAGGAACAGUUAGAAUCAAGAUGUGCCAGCAUCAGUAUUGCACAGGGUUCUGUAAUAACCAGACCCUGUGCUUAUACCCAGAGAUGCCUUAACCCUUACUAAGAUCUAUGGUCUAAUUCUGAACUUACUGAAGUCUUCCCGUAAGCAACACCAAACAUCCCUUGAUGUCAAUGACAGUCUAUGAAUGCUCAACAACAACUUUAAAAUUACUCAAUGCAGACUCAGAUGAGAUCAGUACCAGCUGGGGUUUUGCUGGGCCAUUGUACAGGUGGCCAGGACCAGUGAGUUUAGUGGAAUGCCUGAAGCGUGCCAGCACAAGAGGCACAGCUAAAAGAACUGCUGCCACCAGCUGAAGCACUGAGCUCCACGGCCUGGAAGCAGCACCAGUUGGUACUUGGCUUCUCAUUAAGUAGGAAGUCAUUCCAUUUCUCUUCCAAUAUUUGCUGCCAUAGACCUCAAAUAUAAUUCCUUCUGAACAGGAAAGCACUCCACAGAUGAAUCAGUUCCUUCUGCGACGACGGCAAACUGCUCUGCUUCAUAAUUGAUUUUCCACAGACAAUUGAUUUAAACUUUUCAAACCCCUCAUGAUGGCAGGAUUAGAUCUGAGCCUUUACAGUGCCCUACAGUUUGCAGGGCAAGCUCCGAGCUACGCUGCUCUUUCACUGAGCUCUGCUUAAUUGGAUGACGGGAACAGAGUUCAAGGGCGAGCCAACAGAAAGUAUUUUAUUUAAACAUAGCCCUAAAGUACCUGUAAUGAGAAAGUGUCCCUCACUCCCACAUAUAAAUGACUCGAGUAAUGUUUCGAUUCCAUUUACCUCUCUUAGCUAGGUGGUUAAUACAGAGACCUGAUUUAUUUUAUCCUAUAGUUCAAGGAAAUGUGUUUAUUAUGAGUUCCAUUAUAAUAUACUUAGCACAGCCCUUUCAAGUGAUGGCCAGAGGUUUAUUUAGGAACUAAUUCAGCAACAGCUGAGGUUAAAAGGAAGCUCUCAGAUGUUGGUGGAAACUGCAUUGGACCUUUGCUGACUGUCACAGGUAAAAAUGAUCGGUAUUAGAGAUGAGGGAAAGUGAUCAAACAUCUUUACAUGCAGUUUAUUGACACAAACGGCAUCACAUCUCACAGUGCAUUGCUUCCAAUCCGUUUUUGUCUUAGGUUAUGUGGGUUAUGUGUGCCUGCAGGGCUUGGCACUGGCCCUGACCCUGCUCCCUGCUGCACACCAGGCUGCCCCUGUGCUCAGCUCUACCCCAUCCCUCUGCCAUGAGCACCCCAGGACAGAGCUGUCUCCUGCACCUCCCAAGGCCUGGUCUAUGAGCUCACUUUCUGAAGGCAGAUUAUUAUGUUCAGGGAUGAAUAAACACUGCGUGCCACACUCAUGCAUUCCUAUUUCCUAGGAGUGUAACCCAGAAAUGAGGCUUGGUGCUUGGAAAGGAAAACAAGCAGCGGAAAUUUCGACCGUUCUUUUCCAUUUGCAAACAGAGCCAGCUCUUGUUUGGUAAUGCCACCCCAGGGACACCGAGCAUCUGCCUUUGGGCAGAGCUGGGAUUAACUCAGAACUGUGAUUAAUCACCACCGCCUUACCUGACCUGUCAGCCCAACAGCACUGCCGUGUGGGCAGUGAUGCUGCUGCUGGGAGGGAGUGAUGCUGCCACAGGUCCCCAGCAGCUGAGCCAUGCUCAGCCCAAAGAGAUGUGGGGGCACAGGGAGGGAGGCAGCUCCUCCUGCUCCGGAUGUGGGGCUGCAAUGUGUGGUCUUGUCCCAGGCCCAGCAAGGAGCCCUUGGGCUGACAUCAGAGCAGAACCAACAAAAUGAAGGCAAACAGGAUGAGAAAUAGACUGCUUUGCAUUCGGAGCUCCAGCAAACCAACACUGCAGGAUAUAUCAC
Molecule: long non-coding RNA, 2005 nt
Filed under: Gallus gallus (chicken)
Lineage: Eukaryota; Metazoa; Chordata; Aves; Galliformes; Phasianidae
Description: lncRNA (ENSGALG00010029830.1)
Source: RNAcentral